UGCUCGGGAGGGGACCGGGCCCGGCCAGGUGAGCCCCGCCCGCGAGGAAGCCGCCCGGCCCGGCUCCGCGGGGAAACCGCACAGGUCCUCCCCGAGGGGGACGGGAGACCCGGGCGGCUGGGUGUUAGGUGACACCCGGGACAGUUAGUGCUUGGGGAGCCCGGUCCCACCCAGCCUGGCUCGCUCUGGAAAUGGAACACGGAGCACGUAAAUCCGACCAGACCGAGUGCGAAAAGGGGAGAGUCCGACCCCUUUCUGGGUGGGAUGGAGCAACGGAGAGCGCAGACCCUUGGGAGUGAAAACGAUGGGGCCCAGGGCGCAGGUAAAUGAGAGACUGAAAAACCAGUGUGGAGAAAAUGCUUUGUGUAAAAUGAGAGUUCUGUUACCACUGACAUACAAGCAAAAUCCUCCCUCAGGACCUUUGCACCAGCCAUUCCUUGUGUUUGCAGCUGUCUCCCAGCCUCUGCACGGCUGGCUUCUUCACAGAGGCCUCUCCUGGACCAUCUGUCGAGAUUGAACAGAGUCACCUGCUAUCACAGCACCCUGGUCUAUUUUUUUCACAGCAUUUGAAAAUACUAAAUCAUUUUUUAAAA
Lemur catta (Ring-tailed lemur) is the source of this 593-nucleotide long non-coding RNA. RefSeq lists it as uncharacterized. The record is from RefSeq and is a predicted model, not a curated record. Lineage: Eukaryota; Metazoa; Chordata; Mammalia; Primates; Lemuridae. The transcript is spliced from 2 exons.